UUUUGAAAUUACGUUAGUUUAUAUCACUUUCCUGCUGAGUGUUAUUUAACAUAAUAGCUUGAUUGAAAUUAAUUAAUUUGCCUACUACACAAAUCACUUGAGAAAAUUAAAUAGACUACAUGAUUUGUAGUCUAUUUAAUUAUUAUUUUUUUGUAUAUGAGUGAUAUUAAAUUGGUAAUUUGAGACAUUGCGUAACAAAAAAGAGAUCUUGAGACCAGAAUACAAAGCAUUAGAACGUUCCUAUAAGAACCUAUUGCGUAGUAUGGAGAUAAUCCUUACUUACUCUGUAAUUAAAUCGGAUGUCAUAAAAUGAAAUUGACGUGAAAUCGAAAUCGUUAUCUAACUACUACUAAGCUCAUUUCGAAUCGUAUUUAUUUUCUUGAGGAAGGCAAAACUGAAUUUAUUGUGUUAUUUUACAAAAAUCUGAAUUCACAAGUUAAUGUAUAGCAAAGAAAGACGAGAUAAAUAUCAAGGUGUUUCAACACGCUUGCUUUGAUAUGGAGAUGAAGUAAAAUCGAAAUGAUAGCAAGUGAUUACGACCUCAGCAGCUAAACACCAAAAAAAUAAAUAAGGUUAUAUCGAAUAUGAAUGCCUGCAUGCAUGUAAAUUAUGAGUCGAAUAUUUGUGAUCCAGUUAGCAUUGGUAAUGACCUAUAUUAAUAGGUUUUAAUUCUCCAAAUAAUCUCUACAUAUAAUCUGCGAUAUACACCAAUACCACCCUUUAUCGAUCCUAGCAUCAAGCUUGGUGCAGAUUACUCGGAUGAUAUUUUAUUUAAAAAAUCGGUGUUUUUUAUAAACCUUGGGAAAAAUGUAACAAUUUCACAUCAAAAGUCAACCAAGCAUCCUCCCAGGACAGUGGAUGAAGUUGCGCAUGACGUAGUUGACUCAGUUAAAGACUUCGGGCACAAAGUAGGGGAUGGAGUACAAGAUUUCGGGCACAGAGUAGGGGAUGGAGUACAAGAUUUUGGUCACAAAGUAGGGGAUGAAAUGUACGAGAUUGGAAGCAAAGUAGGUGACGGGGUACAACAUGCGUGGCACCAAACAGUCGAUUGGUUUAAAGGCGUAUUUGGUUAGGUCGUAGAUGAGUCCCAUUAAUUUCCGGUUACCGUGACAUGUUUCAAUGAAGUUUAAUGUUUGUGCCUAUUUUUAUAUAGUGUUUUCUUUGUCUAAUCCUAAAAUGUCUAUUAUGGGCCAACCGCCACAUUUUGAAGUAUACAGUGUUGCAACAGUUGUGUGAGUGUACGACAUAGAAUGUGUACACUCUCUUCCAUACGUCGAUAAUAUUACGUUAUAUUAUAUAGGUACGUAUUAUGUGGUGGUUGCAAAAUGCUUGUAAUAAAUACUGGGUCUGCAUAAACAAGUCGGUUAACAUCUUGAAAAUGGAAAGGAAACGAACUAAACUAAACUGCGUUACACUUUAUUUUAUUUAUGCUAUUACACUCCUUGUUACUCCUACUAGGUAUGAUUUAAAAUCCCUUUUGAUUUUUAGAUCAAUUAAACUGUAAAAUAUAUUUAUACACAUUGAAUUCAGUAGUGUAUUAUUUAUCUUAAAAUUAGUUUAGAUAGUCAGAUAAAUUAAUAGCUAGGCCCGCUUCUUCGUUUGUAUGGUUUAAAUAGGCAUAAUUUCAUUGGUUUUGGGUAUGUGGUACUGUUAAUAGCACAACACACUAAUUUAUAUUUUACCUGCAAUACCUAAUGUUG
Trichoplusia ni (cabbage looper) is the source of this 1700-nucleotide RNA transcript. RefSeq lists it as uncharacterized. NCBI's taxonomy places the organism in Eukaryota, Metazoa, Arthropoda, Insecta, Lepidoptera, Noctuidae. The transcript has 3 exons. The record is from RefSeq and is a predicted model, not a curated record.